RNAcentral lists this unclassified non-coding RNA (513 nucleotides) under Hevea brasiliensis (rubber tree). The record is from RNAcentral. Lineage: Eukaryota; Viridiplantae; Streptophyta; Magnoliopsida; Malpighiales; Euphorbiaceae.
UCUUUCUUGUUUUGUUCUUAAUUUCAAUUCAUAAACAUCAAAACUAUAAAAAGAUUUUCUUUUAUCCUUUCUUUUUACUUUGUUGCACGUUAAACCAGAAAAUACCAAAAGAAUUACAAUCUAACAAAAUUUCAUUUUUGUGAUUUGAGUGUUCUUGCUUGAUUCUACUUAGUUCCAUACUUGUUUCAGUUUAGUUUACUUGUUUUCUUUCUCUUAAUUCAAAUUCCCUUUUUGUUCAAUUCAAUUGAGUUAUUACUUCCCUAACCAAGGCACAUCAAGUUCUAUACCACAAACACAAGAUAAUUGCUUGUUCUAGGUAAUUCUUUCCUAUUACAAAAUUUUUAGCGCACAGGUUAAACAAAAAACUGAGUAAUUUAAGGUAACAGUAUAUUUUCUCCAAAAGGAUCAAAGGGCAUGCCCACAAUCUUCCAAUUUAGAUGGAUUGAAACUUUUAUUUAAUCAUAUUGCUUUUGAAAAUAUUGUUGACAGUUUUCUUUUGUGGAUUUUUUAAUC